GUUUGAUUCAUGGCUCAGAUUGAACGCUGGCGGCAGGCCUAACACAUGCAAGUCGAGCGGAUGAAGGGAGCUUGCUCCUGGAUUCAGCGGCGGACGGGUGAGUAAUGCCUAGGAAUCUGCCUGGUAGUGGGGGAUAACGUCCGGAAACGGGCGCUAAUACCGCAUACGUCCUGAGGGAGAAAGUGGGGGAUCUUCGGACCUCACGCUAUCAGAUGAGCCUAGGUCGGAUUAGCUAGUUGGUGGGGUAAAGGCCUACCAAGGCGACGAUCCGUAACUGGUCUGAGAGGAUGAUCAGUCACACUGGAACUGAGACACGGUCCAGACUCCUACGGGAGGCAGCAGUGGGGAAUAUUGGACAAUGGGCGAAAGCCUGAUCCAGCCAUGCCGCGUGUGUGAAGAAGGUCUUCGGAUUGUAAAGCACUUUAAGUUGGGAGGAAGGGCAGUAAGUUAAUACCUUGCUGUUUUGACGUACCAACAGAAUAAGCACCGGCUACUG
Molecule: ribosomal RNA, 496 nt
Filed under: Pseudomonas aeruginosa
Lineage: Bacteria; Pseudomonadati; Pseudomonadota; Gammaproteobacteria; Pseudomonadales; Pseudomonadaceae
Description: bacterial SSU rRNA
Rfam family: Bacterial small subunit ribosomal RNA
Source: RNAcentral